CGCGAAAACUUUACCAUGCUGGAAACCGUGAUAAGGGAACUCCGAGUGCCCGUAAAAUCGGGCUGUCCAUCUGUUUAAAUAACAGGUGAAGAAAGGGCCGGGCAAGACCGGUGCCAGCCGCCGCGGUAAUACCGGCGGCUCGAGUGGUGGCCACUAUUACUGGGCUUAAAGCGUUCGUAGCUGGUCUGUUAAGUCUCUGGGGAAAUCUACUGGCUUAACCAAUAGGCGUUUCAGGGAUACUGGCAGACUAGGGACCGGGAGAGGUGAGGGGUACUCCAGGGGUAGGAGCGAAAUCCUGUAAUCCUUGGGGGACCACCUGUGGCGAAGGCGCCUCACCAGAACGGCUCCGACAGUGAGGGACGAAAGCUGGGGGAGCAAACCGGAUUAGAUACCCGGGUAGUCCCAGCCGUAAACGAUGCGCGUUAGGUGUAUCGGUGACCACGAGUCACCGAGGUGCCGAAGAGAAAUCGUGAAACGUGCCGCCUGGGAAGUACGGUCGCAAGGCUGAAACUUAAAGGAAUUGGCGGGGGAGCAC
This 535-nucleotide ribosomal RNA is filed under the name uncultured archaeon. RNAcentral's name for it is "bacterial SSU rRNA". It matches the Rfam family "Archaeal small subunit ribosomal RNA", at positions 340 to 879 of the family's 1478-position model. The record is from RNAcentral.